UGGCGCCUAGGUGAGAAUUUCCCCAUCCCUGCAGACGGAGCAUCGUCCCCGCUCAGCCGGAGUGGCUGCUUUCCUCAGGCCUUCACUGGUAGCAAGGAACAUGUGGAAAGACUUCUGGCAGAAAAACCUCUGCAGGUUGCAUGAGUACAGCAGAGCUUUUUCUAGAAACCUCCCAAGUGAUAUGAAUGGAUCUACAAAUUUGAGUUCCUUGUCCGCUUAAGGCCAAGCGAGGUUUGACAAUUGUAUUUCAUUAAACUUGAGAAUCAGCAGAGAAAAACAGGCUGCAAAACAUGAUACAGUAAGAACAAGCUGCUGGAAAACAUGAUAUGCCUAACAACUUGAACGAAAUGAACAUUACAAAAAUAUGAAUGAACAAAAUAAUAUAAAAUUAAUUCUGGAUGUGCAACCAAAGAAUGAAGUCAGCCAUGAGAAAAAGGCACAGAAAGUAGCAGGGUAAAUGAACAUAGUUUUUGUCUGAAUUAUUGCCCUCUAUUAAUGAAGGUAGAGAUUUGCACUGUUAUUUUAAAAACAGAAGACCUGCAUUUGUAGUCUCCAGCUGGAAUAUAUGCUUGCAACGAAGAAAAACCAAAUUUAAUCUCUCUAAUGAGACAUUGAUGAUAAUAAUUUGUAAUAAGUCAUUGUAUUCUGGAGCUAAUGGGAUUUGGACUUAUUGGAAUGUAUUUAAUGUAGUUUCACAGUAACAUAAGGAAGGUAAAACUAAACUCUUUUUAAGAAGGACUGAUUUUAUGUAGUCCUUUUAUUUAAAACCCUUCAGAUUGUACUUCUUGUGAAAUGAUUUAUUUCUAAUGAAUCUGCAUUAGGCAUCAGCUGCAGAACAUGACUUUGAGAUGUGAGCCCUAGACACUGCAAUUACUGUCUUGAGUCUCAUCUUGUCUCUGGGACUACGUUUAAAAUACAAAAAUAUGUUAAAUGAAAUUUAAAGUAUGGAGCUACAGUUAAGAAGAUUUUUUUGCCAAUUAGACUGUGCACAUUAGUCAAUAAUAAAUUUUAUUGCCUUUUAAUGGUUGGUUGGUUGGUUGGUUGGUUGGUUGGGGGUUUUUUGUUUUGUUGAUUUUGGUUUGGUUUGGUUUUUUGGUUGUU
Molecule: long non-coding RNA, 1101 nt
Organism: Vidua macroura (Pin-tailed whydah)
Lineage: Eukaryota; Metazoa; Chordata; Aves; Passeriformes; Viduidae
Exons: 4
Source: RefSeq, a predicted model, not a curated record